RNAcentral lists this ribosomal RNA (1497 nucleotides) under synthetic construct. Its description in RNAcentral is "bacterial SSU rRNA". It matches the Rfam family "Bacterial small subunit ribosomal RNA". RNAcentral also lists the same sequence under 2 other names. The record is from RNAcentral.
AGAGUUUGAUCCUGGCUCAGGAUGAACGCUAGCGACAGGCUUAACACAUGCAAGUCGAGGGGCAGCGGGGAUAAAGCUUGCUUUAUCUGCCGGCGACCGGCGCACGGGUGAGUAACACGUAUGCAACCUGCCCUUUGCAGGGGGAUAACCGGAAGAAAUUCCGACUAAUACCGCAUAAUACUUUCCGGAGACAUCUCCGGGGAUUCAAAGGAAGCAAUUCCGGCAAAGGAUGGGCAUGCGUCGCAUUAGCUAGUCGGCGGGGUAACGGCCCACCGAGGCGACGAUGCGUAGGGGUUCUGAGAGGAAGGUCCCCCACACUGGUACUGAGACACGGACCAGACUCCUACGGGAGGCAGCAGUGAGGAAUAUUGGUCAAUGGGCGCAAGCCUGAACCAGCCAAGUCGCGUGAGGGAAGACGGUCCUAUGGAUUGUAAACCUCUUUUGCCGGGGAGCAAUGCAGGUCUUGCGAGGCCUGAGGGAGAGUACCCGGAGAAAAAGCAUCGGCUAACUCCGUGCCAGCAGCCGCGGUAAUACGGAGGAUGCGAGCGUUAUCCGGAUUUAUUGGGUUUAAAGGGUGCGUAGGCGGGCUGUUAAGUCAGCGGUCAAAUGUCGGGGCUCAACCCCGGCCUGCCGUUGAAACUGGCGGUCUUGAGUGAGCGAGAAGUAUGCGGAAUGCGUGGUGUAGCGGUGAAAUGCAUAGAUAUCGCGCAGAACUCCGAUUGCGAAGGCAGCAUACCGGCGCUCAACUGACGCUGAGGCACGAAAGCGUGGGGAUCGAACAGGAUUAGAUACCCUGGUAGUCCACGCAGUAAACGAUGAAUGCUACCUGUCCGGAGCUUCGGUUCUGGGUGGGACAGCGAAAGCGUUAAGCAUUCCACCUGGGGAGUACGCCGGCAACGGUGAAACUCAAAGGAAUUGACGGGGGCCCGCACAAGCGGAGGAACAUGUGGUUUAAUUCGAUGAUACGCGAGGAACCUUACCCGGGCUCAAACGCAGACGGACGAAUCGAGAAAUCGGUUUUUCCUUCGGGACUGUCUGCGAGGUGCUGCAUGGUUGUCGUCAGCUCGUGCCGUGAGGUGUCGGCUUAAGUGCCAUAACGAGCGCAACCCCUAUCUACAGUUGCUAACAGGUGAAGCUGAGGACUCUGUGGAGACUGCCGGCGCAAGCUGUGAGGAAGGCGGGGAUGACGUCAAAUCAGCACGGCCCUUACGUCCGGGGCGACACACGUGUUACAAUGGCAGGUACAGCGGGAAGCCACUUGGCGACAAGGAGCGGAACCCGAAAACCUGUCUCAGUUCGGAUUGGAGUCUGCAACCCGACUCCAUGAAGCUGGAUUCGCUAGUAAUCGCGCAUCAGCCACGGCGCGGUGAAUACGUUCCCGGGCCUUGUACACACCGCCCGUCAAGCCAUGGAAGCCGGGAGUGCCUGAAGUGCGUGACCGCAAGGAACGCCCUAGGGUAAAACCGGUGACUGGGGCUAAGUCGUAACAAGGUAACC